Molecule: long non-coding RNA, 1830 nt
Organism: Strigops habroptila (Kakapo)
Lineage: Eukaryota; Metazoa; Chordata; Aves; Psittaciformes; Psittacidae
Source: Ensembl
CUGAGCAUCUAGCACCCCAAGGCUUUUUCAGACACAGCUGCCUCUACUCCAGCUCUCUCUGCCCACACCUUCCUCUGAAGCACCAGCAGCUAAUCUUUACAGGCUGGACUUUCCUGGGCCUUGAUGCAGGUUUGGUCCUGGGACCAGCUUUACACUGGAGGAGGAGCCAGAGUAGAGCCACCUUCCCUCCUUCUCCUCCUUCACAGGUGUUGCGUACACACCUCAGUCUAAGGUCCCUAAGAAAGGCUUUGGUCAUGGUCAGACUAUAAAUGCUGACGUGGGAAAUGCCUUAUUUGUAGUGCUGAGGAAAACUACUGCAAACUGGCGGAAUGGCUGCUAACCAGUGACCCACAGCAAUGUCCCUCUGAGCUCCCCAAUCCUUCGAUUUUGCUAUAUAUGGAUCGACAAAGAUCUUUUAUUUGCUGUGAAUUGAUUCUCCCUUAAGUGAGCCUCUUUGCUACCAAGGUGAAGCUAAUAAUUACAGAGUCAGUGUGGGAGGAGCUGAGUUCCUCAACACAGGCUGACCCAUGUCCUUUCCUUUUCUGCCACAGUGGAAAGGCUUCAGCACUUCCUGCACAUGGUCUUUUGAAGGCUUGAACCACCGGUGGCUUUUUGGUUACCUCUAGUCCCCCGUCCUCAUUUAUCCACAUUAGCAGUAGGGCUAGAUCUUCUGUUUGCCAGACACUUGCUGGGACCAGUUUACUUGUUGUGUCCAGUUUGUUCUUGCCUUCCUUGGAGAAGCCUGUUGUGUACUUGGCCAUUUACCUACUUUGCAUUUGGAACCAUGAUAUGAUGUGGCCCAUGGAGCCACUAGCAAGUGAUGCUGUUCAGGGUUACAGCACAGAAAUCACAGGGGAGUUAAAAUUGCACAGGUCUGGAGAUCUGGAGAUCACCUCAGAACUUGUCUCUAUGGGGCUGUGUUCGAAUUUGUGACUCAGCUUCUGCUGAAGGUUUCCAUCUUAGGGUUGGUCAGAGAGCAAAAACUUUUCCAUCCUGAUCACAUGGGUUUAAAUGUGAGCCUGAACCACAUGGAGAAGCCUGACUCCAGUCAUGUAGCCUUCCUUGCAUCCCUCCUUGCCAUGUGUGGUGGCUGGGCAUUCCCAAGAGUCCUCUAGCAGUAGAUGGGCUUUAACCAUUUUUAGGGCCUUAGUGAGUGUGACAGAUGGAGGGCCAGACUGCUUAACUGCUGGGGAUUAACUCAUCCGUAGAGUGGGCCUUAGUUAGGAGAAAGAUGCAAAUUGGGAAACCCAGACAGCAUCUUCACAUCUCCAACUCUAGCUGUGCAAAUCAAUCCCUUCAGAUAUCCUUUCCCGUACCCUCAGUACCAUGGGCCCUGCUCAUAUUUGUUGGCAAAUACAUCGCAUAUAAUGCUUUCAAGCCUGUCUCAUUCAGAACAUGGUAAAUAUUUACAUUUUUAAAUGGGUUUUAAUUGCGGGGUUUCACUUUUUUUUUUCCUGUUAAGAAGAACUGGGGAUACCUGUAUCUGAUGUGAGGUUUUAAUCUGGAAUGUGCAGCAGAGGGGGAUCUUUCAUAUCAUUCAGCCUGGAUUAUCAGGGAGUUAUCAGGGAGUCUGAAGUGUCUUCACAGAACGCUGCAAAGCACAGUUUGAUCCAUGGGGCUAACACACUGUGGAGUCAGCCCGAGUCACCUGGCAGAGGCAUGACACAGGUCCUCCAGCUCCCCACACCACACAGUAGCUGCAUCCAGCUCAGGGCUGUGUUUUCAGAGACCACUCAACAGACACGAUUUGCUUGUGCUACCUCUCCUCCUGUUCAAGUUUUGUACCACCUCUAUGGCGGUUACAGCAUGGGAAAGUAAAAGAAACUACUG